Molecule: ribosomal RNA, 433 nt
Filed under: uncultured bacterium
Lineage: Bacteria
Description: partial 16S ribosomal RNA
Rfam family: Bacterial small subunit ribosomal RNA
Source: RNAcentral
AACGAACGCUGGCGGCAUGCCUAACACAUGCAAGUCGAACGAGACCUUCGGGUCUAGUUGCGCACGGGUGCGUAACGCGUGGGAACCUGCCCUUAGGUUCGGAAUAACUCCCCGUAAGGGGUGCUAAUACCGGAUAAUGUCUGCUGACCAAAGAUUUAUCGCCUUUGGAUGGGCCCGCGUUGGAUUAGCUAGUUGGUAGGGUAAAAGCCUACCAAGGCGACGAUCCAUAGCUGGUCUGAGAGGAUGAUCAGCCACACUGGGACUGAGACACGGCCCAGACUCCUACGGGAGGCAGCAGUGGGGAAUAUUGGACAAUGGGCGAAAGCCUGAUCCAGCAAUGCCGCGUGAGUGAUGAAGGCCUUAGGGUUGUAAAGCUCUUUUACCCGGGAUGAUAAUGACAGUACCGGGAGAAUAAGCUCCGGCUAACUCCGUG